GCACAAGCGGUGGAGCAUGUGGUUCAAUUCGAAGCAACGCGCAGAACCUUACCAGCCCUUGACAUCCCGGUCGCGGAGAGCAGAGACGCACUCCUUCAGUUCGGCUGGACCGAAGACAGGUGCUGCAUGGCUGUCGUCAGCUCGUGUCGUGAGAUGUUGGGUUAAGUCCCGCAACGAGCGCAACCCUCGCCUUCAGUUGCCAUCAUUCAGUUGGGCACUCUGGAGGGACUGCCGGUGAUAAGCCGGAGGAAGGUGGGGAUGACGUCAAGUCCUCAUGGCCCUUACAGGCUGGGCUACACACGUGCUACAAUGGCGGUGACAGAGGGACGCGAAUGGGCAACCAUAAGCAAAUCUCAAAAAGCCGUCUCAGUUCGGAUUGCACUCUGCAACUCGAGUGCAUGAAGUUGGAAUCGCUAGUAAUCGCGGAUCAGCACGCCGCGGUGAAUACGUUCCCGGGC
Molecule: ribosomal RNA, 458 nt
Filed under: uncultured bacterium
Lineage: Bacteria
Description: bacterial SSU rRNA
Rfam family: Bacterial small subunit ribosomal RNA
Source: RNAcentral